RNAcentral lists this long non-coding RNA (2564 nucleotides) under Homo sapiens (human). Its description in RNAcentral is "PREDICTED lncRNA (TCONS_00003439)". Lineage: Eukaryota; Metazoa; Chordata; Mammalia; Primates; Hominidae. The record is from RNAcentral.
GGCGCGCGACUCACCUUGCUGCUGGGCUCCAUGGCAGCGCUGCGCUGGUGGCUCUGGCUGCGCCGGGUACGCGGGUGGCGACGGGCGUGCGAGCGGCGCUCUCCCGCUCAGGCUCGUGCUCCGGUCCGGGGACUCCCACUGCGACUCUGACUCCGACCCCCGUCGUUUGGUCUCCUGCUCCCUGGCGUGCUCACUCGGGGACCCGCGACUAGCGACCGGCACGCUCGCUGUUGCUACCUCUUGCCUCUUGCCAGAGAGCGCGCGGACCGUAGCGUUUAUAGGACCCCGGCCAUUGGCUGGCGACGCCGGUGUGUCAGGGGUGUGUGGGCAGGACCUCGGGGCGGGGCCUGGGGCCCAGCCUGUCCUGGGCGGCGCUCUGCGGGGAGGGGGUGAGGGGAGUGGCCGGGGCCGGGGCCCCCCCUAACCACUGCCUCGCUCAGGCUGCCGAUCGGCUCGUUCUCUCUGCGUUGGGACCGCGGAGGGCAUUCGCUGUGUGACUCAGGGCAAGUGUGCGCACCUCUCUGAGCCUCCGCGGCCUUCUCUAGCAAAAUGGUGGAGCCGGUACCCGGCUGUAAGGCAAGCUGGGAUGCGCGGAGUAGCGGGUGGAAAGCUGGACUGGAGUUCUCACUCGGCCGCUGGGUGACUUCGGUGCACUAGGGAUAGUAACAGUACCACCUCGUAGGGUUGUAGAAAGACCAAGUGAGUUAAUAUUUGUAAAGUGUUUAGAACAGCGUCUACUGCAUGGAAAGUAGUAUUUAUUUGUUAGAGAGACUCCAGGAGGUCUUGCCCAGGGAUUGACUUCUCCCUUCCCUGUCUCCACCCCCCACAUUCCCGUUUGUGAGCCAAGCCUUGCUUUUGCACCGGCCGGGCUCUCUUGCCUGGAAAUGCAUACCCAUCUCAAACCUGGGCUUUAAAAUCACCUCCUCUGGGACGCCUUCCUCUACUUCUCACAGUUCAGGCCUGUUCUGCCCCACACAGCAGAAAAUGCCCACGAUGCAAUACCAGAGUCUGCAUGGGACCAUUUCAACAACCCUUAGAAGCUGACUCAGCUGUCUCCUGGCCCUGACUUUUCUAAGAUGAGAGGAGCUGGUAGGAACAAUUUGGGAACCCUCAAAGGCUGAGAGUAUCCCACCCACUUCACAGAUGAAGCAAACUGAGGCCCAGAGAAGGGAAAUUACUUGCCCAAGAUCACCCAGCAAGUAAGAAACAGAGCUGGAGAUGAGCUCAGGCCAGCACGGAACCACGCAAACUCCUUCUGUAGGCUUUGUAAAGGAUUGAUGAGAAAAGCAGAUGGUUAAGAGCUCUACAACUUCUGUGAGUUUCUCCACGUUGGUCAGGCUGGCCUCGAACUCCCACCCUCAGGUGAUCCACCUGCCUUGGCCUCCUAAAGUUCUGGGAUUACAGGCAUGAGCCACUGCACCCAACCUGAAUAAUCUAUUAGAGUCUUUAUCUCUAAGAAGAGAAAUACAUCUGAACUAAAGGGUAAAAAAUGGCAUGUUUUAAUUGGUAAGUCUAAAUGCAAAACGAUGACAAUAAAAUUUUAAAGGACUGCUUCCUUCUUAAGCUUUAUUUUCGUCCUCUGUCAGUGUAUUGCUAGACUCAUCUUUCCCAGACACCCAGACCUCCCACGAGAGUAUGUACAUUCCAUUUGGCUUGAUUUCAAGUGCUAAUGUAUAAAGCUUCUGGGUUCUGGGUCUGGCAAGCUAUUUCUCAUGUUCUCUGAUAAAAUAUUGAAAACCAUCUCUAAGGUCUUCCAAGAGGGGAUAUGUGGAAGAUACAUUUCAAUUUUCCACUGCAUUUCAACCUUAAUAUAAUGUGAUUAGCUACAGCAUUGAAAAUUAGCUUAAUACUGGCCCAUCUUAUUAUAGGGGCCAAGGAAAAACUUUCCCUUUAUCCUCUGAAGGUCCACUGUAAUCAACUGACACAAAAGGCAGAUUAAUAGAAGAAAAGGCAUAACCAUUUUAUUUUAAUGUACAUAGCACAGGAGAACUGAAGGAGAAUGAUUACCCUGCUAUCUUAAUUUAAUUCCAAUGUGGUCUGAGAGCAGACAUUGUAUGGUUUCUAUUAUUAUAAAUUGGUUAAGCUGUGCUUUAUGGCCCAGAAUGCAGCCUGUCUUAGUGAAUGUUCUGUGGGAGCUUGAGACGAAUGUGUUUUCUGCUGUUGCUGGAUGAAGUAUUCUAUAGACACCAAUUAUAUCCAGUUGAUUGAUGGUGUUGUUGAGUUCAACUAUGUUCUUACUGAUUUUCUGCCUGCUGAAUCUGUCCAUUUCUCAGAGGGAUGCUGAAGUCUUCAGCUAUACUAGUGGAUUCAUCUAUUUCUCCUUGUAGGUCUGUCAGUUUUUGCCUCCAUAGUUUGCUGCUCUGUUGUUAGGCACAUACCCAUUAAGGAUUUAACUAUGUCUUCUUGGAGAAUUGACCCAUUUAUCAUUAUGUAAUGUCUCUCUUUAUCCCUGAUAAUUUUCCUUGCUCAGAAGUCUGCUCUGAAAUGAAUAUCGCUACUCUCACAUUCUUUUCAUUAGUGUUAACCUGUUAUAUCUUUCUCCAUCUCUUUACUUUUAAUCUAUA